ACCGACUAAUGUUGAAAAAUUAGCGGAUGACUUGUGGCUGGGGGUGAAAGGCCAAUCAAACCGGGAGAUAGCUGGUUCUCCCCGAAAGCUAUUUAGGUAGCGCCUCGUGAAUUCAUCUCCGGGGGUAGAGCACUGUUUCGGCAAGGGGGUCAUCCCGACUUACCAACCCGAUGCAAACUGCGAAUACCGGAGAAUGUUAUCACGGGAGACACACGGCGGGUGCUAACGUCCGUCGUGAAGAGGGAAACAACCCAGACCGCCAGCUAAGGUCCCAAAGUCAUGGUUAAGUGGGAAACGAUGUGGGAAGGCCCAGACAGCCAGGAUGUUGGCUUAGAAGCAGCCAUCAUUUAAAGAAAGCGUAAUAGCUCACUGGUCGAGUCGGCCUGCGCGGAAGAUGUAACGGGGCUAAACCAUGCACCGAAGCUGCGGCAGCGACGCUUAUGCGUUGUUGGGUAGGGGAGCGUUCUGUAAGCCUGUGAAGGUGUGCUGUGAGGCAUGCUGGAGGUAUCAGAAGUGCGAAUGCUGACAUAAGUAACGAUAAAGCGGGUGAA
Molecule: ribosomal RNA, 551 nt
Filed under: Escherichia coli
Lineage: Bacteria; Pseudomonadati; Pseudomonadota; Gammaproteobacteria; Enterobacterales; Enterobacteriaceae
Description: partial 23S ribosomal RNA
Rfam family: Bacterial large subunit ribosomal RNA
Source: RNAcentral